Molecule: non-coding RNA, 149 nt
Organism: Paramuricea clavata
Lineage: Eukaryota; Metazoa; Cnidaria; Anthozoa; Malacalcyonacea; Plexauridae
Source: the annotation of a GenBank genome assembly
AGAGUGUCCCCAAAAAACAAAACUAUUCAAAUAACAUAUUGUUAAAAUUUGAAUGCUUUUAUGCACCUGUGAGUUCAGCAGAGUGCCAUUAAGGCAUACAAAUUCUAACAAUACAUUAUUUCAAUAGUUUGGUUUUUUUGGGACACCCU